AACAAAGUGUAGCAAUCACACCUCGAAUAAUUCAUUAUGUUUCGAAAGAUUCUCCCAUUCAUUAACAAAGUGUAACAAAGUGUAACAGACUGAAAGGAAUAUUACAUUGCAAACAACGUACAGUACUAAAUAUGUAGUGAGGACGGUUUCAUGUUCCGCCCCAUGAAGCAACAAUUAUUUGAGAGAGAUUCCGUGGUGCAAUUUUCUAGUGAUUUGGGGGGAGUACUAACGGAUCAGAUCAGCCAUUCAUUCAUAGGAUUUCUAGGUAUUUUACAUUGACGAAUUUUGAAACAAUCUUGUUUGCCUCAUUUUCCCAACCUGCUCCUGAUGUUUCUUUUCUCUUGAAACUAACCUGAUCUUUCUGCUACCUGAAAUUGUCUCACAGUGGUACUCCACGCAGCAUCAUACUUCAUCUGAAAUCCUUUACGGCAUGUUAAUGAAACCAAAUAUUAAUUAUUCGAUGGUUUGAAAAUCUGAAGGGAAAAUAAAUGUGGAAAACAAGUAAAGCUCCAGAAAUUUUAAUGUCCAAACUAAACAAACUGAGCAGGACAGCCCUCAUAAGCCUGUGUUAAUGCUUUUCAUAGUUUACACAAAAUACAAAAAUGAAUCAAGCUGCAUGUCAUCCGCGGCCCAAAUAAGCAUAUGGGCUCUCCAAACAGAGAAAGAAAGCAAUCAUGUUUGACUCAUUCUUCCAACCUACUCUUGAUUUUUCUUUUCACUUGAAACUAACCUGAUCUUUCUACUGCCUGAAACUGUCUCCAAGUGGUACUCCACACAGCAUACUACUUCAUCUGAAACCAUUUAUAGCACGUUAGUUGAUUGUAACUUUAACGAAACCAAAUAUUAUUCACUGUACAACUCCAGACAUUUUAAUCUCCAAACUAAACAGACUGACCAGGAUAGCCCUCAUAUCAUAAGCUUAUUAAUGUUGUUCCAUGGUUGACACAAAGUAUACAAAUUAAUCAAGCUGCAUGUCCACACACAAGACCUCCCAAGGUGAGCUCUGUCGAGGCGGUUUGUUCCAGAUUGGAGGAUCAAAAAUCAGAAGGAAAAAGAAAUAGAAAUUCCAAGCAAGUCUAGUGCUAGAAAAAAGUUGAAGUGGCACUAGUCAUUCCGAACAAUCAACACAAUAUGGAGAGCUUUUCCGCAGAAAGAAAUGAACUCUGAAAAUUGGUCUAAAGUAUAACAGCUCAACAAUCUUAGGAGCUUGAUCCUGUCAGGUUUCAUUCAAAGGUAACAAAGACAUAUACAGAGCUUGAUUAAGCUUUGCAGCCGGUCGAUGGCAGCUUCUGAUGCAGCUUUGUACAUUAUUAUUUCUUAAAUCGCAUUUCAAGUAUUUUACCAUAACCAAAGAUUGUAGUACAACCAACUAAAACAGACAGGUUGCAGAACUCUUGUGCAUCUCGUCAAAACAAGUAUGAAAGAGCUAUUAUGAAAGUUGGAUCUGGUGAUUCCGCAUGAGGUAAGUUGCAUAAAAAAAUCUUCAGUAAACAGGUAGUAUCAGACAAGAACAAUACCAACAACUUCACUGAAAGAGCGGCACAUCGGCGGCAUGUCCAGGGAGCUGGAGCUCGCCGAGCUUGAUGUGGCGGCGGGUGCUAGAGCCCCACCGCCCCUUUCUCCCCCCACCGCCGGCACCAGGCGGGUGCUAGGCAUUCCUUCUGCCACUAUGCCGCGCACUUGCCACCGACCGAGGGCCGCGGCACCUCUGUUCCCCUGAAUCCGGCGUCGCGACUUGUACUUCCUGCCGCUCCUCCACCGCAG
RNAcentral lists this long non-coding RNA (1764 nucleotides) under Triticum aestivum (bread wheat). RNAcentral describes it as "long non-coding RNA (TAES_LNC006506)". The record is from RNAcentral. Lineage: Eukaryota; Viridiplantae; Streptophyta; Magnoliopsida; Poales; Poaceae.